GAGUUUGAUCCUGGCUCAGGAUGAACGCUGGCGGCGUGCCUAAUACAUGCAAGUCGAACGCUUCACUUCGGUGAAGAGUGGCGAACGGGUGAGUAAUACAUAAGUAACCUGGCAUCUACAGGGGGAUAACUGAUGGAAACGUCAGCUAAGACCGCAUAGGUGUAGAGAUCGCAUGAACUCUAUAUGAAAAGUGCUACGGGACUGGUAGAUGAUGGACUUAUGGCGCAUUAGCUGGUUGGUAGGGUAACGGCCUACCAAGGCGACGAUGCGUAGCCGACCUGAGAGGGUGACCGGCCACACUGGGACUGAGACACGGCCCAGACUCCUACGGGAGGCAGCAGUAGGGAAUUUUCGGCAAUGGGGGAAACCCUGACCGAGCAACGCCGCGUGAAGGAAGAAGUAAUUCGUUAUGUAAACUUCUGUCAUAGAGGAAGAACGGUGGAUAUAGGGAAUGAUAUCCAAGUGACGGUACUCUAUAAGAAAGCCACGGCUAACUACGUGCCAGCAGCCGCGGUAAUACGUAGGUGGCGAGCGUUAUCCGGAAUUAUUGGGCGUAAAGAGGGAGCAGGCGGCACUAAGGGUCUGUGGUGAAAGAUCGAAGCUUAACUUCGGUAAGCCAUGGAAACCGUAGAGCUAGAGUGUGUGAGAGGAUCGUGGAAUUCCAUGUGUAGCGGUGAAAUGCGUAGAUAUAUGGAGGAACACCAGUGGCGAAGGCGACGAUCUGGCGCAUAACUGACGCUCAGUCCCGAAAGCGUGGGGAGCAAAUAGGAUUAGAUACCCUAGUAGUCCACGCCGUAAACGAUGAGUACUAAGUGUUGGGAGUCAAAUCUCAGUGCUGCAGUUAACGCAAUAAGUACUCCGCCUGAGU
RNAcentral lists this ribosomal RNA (868 nucleotides) under human gut metagenome. RNAcentral's name for it is "bacterial SSU rRNA". It matches the Rfam family "Bacterial small subunit ribosomal RNA", at positions 9 to 873 of the family's 1533-position model. The record is from RNAcentral.